RNAcentral lists this ribosomal RNA (433 nucleotides) under uncultured bacterium. RNAcentral describes it as "partial 16S ribosomal RNA". It matches the Rfam family "Bacterial small subunit ribosomal RNA", at positions 29 to 507 of the family's 1533-position model. The record is from RNAcentral.
AACGAACGCUGGCGGCAUGCCUAACACAUGCAAGUCGAACGAGACCUUCGGGUUUAGUGGCGCACGGGUGCGUAACGCGUGGGAACCUGCCCUUAGGUUCGGCAUAACUCCCCGAAAGGGGUGCUAAUACCGGAUAAUGUCUUCGGACCAUAGAUUUAUCGCCUUUGGUUGGUGCCGCGUUGGUUUAGUUUGUUGGUAGGUUACAACCCUACAACGGCGUCGAUCCAUAGUUGGUCUGUGAGGAUGAUCAGCCACACUGGGACUGAGACACGGCCCAGACUCCUACGAGAGGCAGCGGAUGUGAAUAUAGGAGAGUGGGCGAGAGGCUGAGCCAGCGAGGCCGCGAUAGUGAUGAAGGCCUUAGGGUUGUAUAGCUCUUUUACCCGGGAUGAUAAUGACAGUACCGGGAGAAGAAGCUCCGGCUAACUCCGUG